Molecule: unclassified non-coding RNA, 937 nt
Filed under: Leishmania donovani
Lineage: Eukaryota; Euglenozoa; Kinetoplastea; Trypanosomatida; Trypanosomatidae
Description: gene:LdHU3.24.1130(CDS-product:Archaic_Translocas e_of_outer_membrane_14_kDa_subunit_putative)
Source: RNAcentral
AUGAGCAACAUCUACUGAGUGCACCUCUUCCUCCCCACCAUGUCCGCAUUCAUGGAGAAGUACCACAUCAACAAGGCUCUCGGCACCACGUUGAGAGCCGUGCAGUCCGUGUGGGACUGGACGCGUGAGCGGCUGUGGCCCAUCUACUCCGCCGCCGUCGUCAUCUCCCUCUUCCAGAUGAUCGCUGUCGCCUCAGAGAAGCAGAUUCUCGCCGACCACUACUACGGCGACGUCGAUGGGAAGUUCGAGGAGCACAAGGAUGAGCUCGUGCGCGACGCCAAGAAGCUCUUCAACGAAGAGGUAGCGGUGGCGGUGAAAGAGCAUGUGUGGCAGCUGUCCCCUGCGGCGUUCCGUCGCGAGUACAGCAGCCGCCUUGGCAACGCUUAAUAUCGUGAAGAAGGGGGGGAGGCUGGGGAAGGUGUUCUGACGUGCUGGCAAGCCCCAAGCGCAGAUGCGGAGUGUUCAGGACUGUCUACCUAUGCCUGUGGCGACGCAGAAAGUCAUGGUGACAGAAAAGGCCACAUUUAACCAUGCCGCCUCGCACGCAUGCACGCGCGCAAGUAGUGGGAGGUGGGGGAGGUGUAUCAUCUGACUCCUCCGGCAGCUCUCUAGCCCUCCCCUGCAGCCAAGCUCCCCACUCCCCCCCCCCGACCCCCUCCCGAUCCUUUGCGUGCCGUGUGCGUAUGCGGGUUUUUUGCGUGAUGGACGGGAUCUCAUGGUGUUUUGCUCUGAUUUGUCUGUGUGUCUAUAUGCGUGUGUAACGGUGUGUGCAUGUGUGUUUGUGUGUCAUCAUCCAUGUUGCUUCGCACGAAGAGGACGGAGGGUCGAUGGGCCUCCCUCGCCCCCUCUCGCAGCCACACCCAAAUACGCCGCCCUCCACCCUCCGUCUCUUCCUCUUGGUGGAGUUGAUGUUUCCUGCCUCGUGAGGCACCUAACU